AUCAGCCAAUCAAGGCAGACAGAGCACACAGCGACGCACAGGGUAAUUAAAGCGCAGCGGUGCUUGUUUGGACACGGAGGAGAUCUGCUGCGACGUGCAUCUUUGGAGACAACGAGACAGAUUUAAGAAUGACGACCAACGAUGGGGGCGAGACUGGCAGAGAAGCAAAUGCACUGGGGAGUCUCAGGAGGCGGACAGAUGGGAGAGCUUUUGGAGCCGGAGCAGCCGAACCAGACUCUGCCCAGCAACCUGUGAACAAGCUGAUGUUGAUGAUGGCGUAGGAGGCUGAGACGGCAGCAGAAGAGGAAACUUAUUAAGUUUCAAACUCGAAUCCUCGGCUCCUUAAGAAGGUAAUAUUAAAAAUAUAAUAUAUGGACGGCUCCUGCAAGUGUGUGUGCAAAAAACAAAAUGGUCUCAUAAUUUUCUUUUAUGCCCAUGGAUGGGUUUUAUUAUGCGCGCGCACUCUGACCUGCAUGAGCCGGCACAGAUGCACAAA
Cynoglossus semilaevis (tongue sole) is the source of this 496-nucleotide long non-coding RNA. RefSeq lists it as uncharacterized. The record is from RefSeq and is a predicted model, not a curated record. NCBI's taxonomy places the organism in Eukaryota, Metazoa, Chordata, Actinopteri, Pleuronectiformes, Cynoglossidae. The transcript is spliced from 3 exons.